This 378-nucleotide ribosomal RNA is filed under the name uncultured eukaryote. Its description in RNAcentral is "partial 18S ribosomal RNA". It matches the Rfam family "Eukaryotic small subunit ribosomal RNA", at positions 592 to 976 of the family's 1831-position model. The record is from RNAcentral.
CAAUAGCGUAUAUUUAAGUUGUUGCAGUUAAAAAGCUCGUAGUUGGAUUUCGGGUGGGACGCAGCGGUCUCGAAUUGCGUUUGUACUGCUGCAGCCCUCCUUCUUGCCGGGGGCGGCCUCUCGGACUUCACUGUCUGGGGGUCAGAAUCGGCGAUGUUACUUUGAGUAAAUUAGAGUGUUCAAAGCAAGCUUACGCUCUGAAUAUAAUAGCAUGGGAUAACACGACAGGACUCUGGCCUAUCGUGUUGGUCUAUAGGACCAGAGUAAUGAUUAAGAGGGACAGUCGGGGGCAUUCGUAUUCCGUUGUCAGAGGUGAAAUUCUUGGAUUUACGGAAGACGAACAUCUGCGAAAGCAUUUGCCAAGGAUGUUUUCAUUGA